This is a long non-coding RNA of Lolium rigidum, 1005 nucleotides long. RefSeq lists it as uncharacterized. The transcript is spliced from 3 exons. NCBI's taxonomy places the organism in Eukaryota, Viridiplantae, Streptophyta, Magnoliopsida, Poales, Poaceae. The record is from RefSeq and is a predicted model, not a curated record.
CAGGCCCGGAAACCUUUGUUUCAAGCAGAGCAGCAGGCCCCUGGCCCUGCUUGCUAGGAUCAAAUUCUUGUCCCCAUCAGCAUUCAGCUCGGUAACAUUCUCCCAUUUUGUCACCACGUGGGUCAUAUUUGCUUUCCUUCUCCAGACAUACAUAGCAGCCUCGACACGGUCUGCGAUCUCAAGUGCCUCAUGUUCGGAGGUCAAGUUUAGGAAGUCAAGGAGGUGAUCUGGUGAAAACUGAUCCCCUGAAGACAUGUACCGAGAGGAUAGCAUUGUUGAUCUCCAUGGCCAUCUUGUGGAUCUGGCUAGCUUGGUCCCUCUUGUGCUGCAGCUCACGGUGCACAGAAUCGGACAGACCUGAUUCUGGCACACACGGCUCAGAACUCUGCCUUGUCGAAGCUGUCCAAUAUACCCUGCAAACAAGCAUGUGCACGUCCAGUGAAUAAACUCAGCUAACAGAGAGAGUUGCUUGACUGGAACUUGCACAAGUAUCCGAAUUGAGACUUUACAAGGAGCAUGGUUUCUAGCUUUUCAAGUGCAGGAAGGUUCAUCAGAAUGUCUGAUCGCGGUGAGGUUGCCAUCACCUGUAGGCAGCAAUCGCACGCAAACAUUAGUAAGCAGAUGCGACAAGGAGGAAUCAAUAUAUAUGUGAUGUUGGCAUUACAUCGUGGGUGCUUCCAUCAGGUCUGGCCUGGACUAUCGGUGCGAAUUCUACAAUGUAUUCGCAAAUGGAGAGGAGGCAAUCCAUCUCCCGGUUCCACUUUGAUUUCUUCUCAGGAGACAGUGACUGCAAUCUGUGACAGGUCCCAAACACAGUUGCUGGAGCCAUAGAGGAGAGAAGUUAGCAUGCAUCUGGACCAGUUUAGCGGAGAUUUUCAUCCGAUUACUAGUACCAUAUAGGUUGGUGAUGGCAUUGGAGAUGGCCACGGCAGUGCAGACACCCUUGCCGCCCCCUGACAUGUCCUCCCCAAGGAGCAGCUUCGUGUACUUUUCCUUCAUCAGCUC